This 262-nucleotide ribosomal RNA is filed under the name uncultured bacterium. RNAcentral describes it as "partial 16S ribosomal RNA". It matches the Rfam family "Bacterial small subunit ribosomal RNA", at positions 793 to 1055 of the family's 1533-position model. The record is from RNAcentral.
GUCCACGCCCUAAACGAUGAAUACUCGAUGUUGGCGAUAUACGGUCAGCGUCUAAGCGAAAGCGUUAAGUAUUCCACCUGGGGAGUACGCCCGCAAGGGUGAAACUCAAAGGAAUUGACGGGGGCCCGCACAAGCGGAGGAGCAUGUGGUUUAAUUCGAUGAUACGCGAAAAACCUUACCUACCCUUGACAUGGCAGGAACUUUCCAGAGAUGGAUUGGUGCUCGAAAGAGAACCUGCACACAGGUGCUGCAUGGCUGUCGU